AUUUGUCUGGUUAAUUCCGAUAACGAACGAGACCUUAACCUGCUAACUAGAUUCAUCAGUAUUACUCUUGAUAUCUUCUUAGAGGGACUAUGUAAAACAAAUACAUGGAAGUUUGAGGCAAUAACAGGUCAGUGAUGCCCUUAUAUGUCCUGGGCUGCACGCAGUGCUACACUGAUGCAUACAACAAGUGCCUAACCAGACAUGGUAUGGCAAUCUCGAAUAUGCAUCGUGAUGGGGAUAGAUCUUUGCAAUUAUAGAUCUUGAACGAGGAAUUCCUAGUAAGUGCAAGUCAUCAUCUUGCAUUGAUUAUGUCCCUGCCCUUUGUACACACCGCCCGUCGCUCCUACCGAUACCGGGUGAUCCGGUGAACCUUUUGGACUCUUUACUGGGAAAGAUAAGUAAACCAUAUCACCUAGAGGAAGGAGAAGUCGUAACAAGGUUUCCGUAGGUGAACCUGCRGAAGGAUCA
RNAcentral lists this ribosomal RNA (468 nucleotides) under uncultured ciliate. Its description in RNAcentral is "SSU rRNA". It matches the Rfam family "Eukaryotic small subunit ribosomal RNA". Lineage: Eukaryota; Ciliophora. The record is from RNAcentral.